CAGUCGCCGCGGUAAUACGAAGGGUGCAAGCGUUAAUCGGAAUUACUGGGCGUAAAGCGUGCGUAGGCGGUGAGUUAAGUCUGCUGUGAAAUCCCCGGGCUCAACCUGGGAAUGGCAGUGGAUACUGGCUCGCUAGAGUGUGUCAGAGGAUGGUGGAAUUCCCGGUGUAGCGGUGAAAUGCGUAGAGAUCGGGAGGAACAUCAGUGGCGAAGGCGGCCAUCUGGGACAACACUGACGCUGAGGCACGAAAGCGUGGGGAGCAAACAGGAUUAGAUACCCGCGUAGUCCCUGUCUAUUAUAC
RNAcentral lists this ribosomal RNA (301 nucleotides) under uncultured bacterium. RNAcentral describes it as "partial 16S ribosomal RNA". It matches the Rfam family "Bacterial small subunit ribosomal RNA", at positions 509 to 807 of the family's 1533-position model. The record is from RNAcentral.